Molecule: ribosomal RNA, 468 nt
Filed under: uncultured bacterium
Lineage: Bacteria
Description: partial 16S ribosomal RNA
Rfam family: Bacterial small subunit ribosomal RNA
Source: RNAcentral
GACGAACGCUGGCGGCGUGCUUAACACAUGCAAGUCGAACGGAAAGGCCCUGCUUUUGUGGGGUGCUCGAGUGGCGAACGGGUGAGUAACACGUGAGUAACCUGCCCUUGACUUUGGGAUAACUUCAGGAAACUGGGGCUAAUACCGGAUAGGAGCUCCUGCUGCAUGGUGGGGGUUGGAAAGUUUCGGCGGUUGGGGAUGGACUCGCGGCUUAUCAGCUUGUUGGUGGGGUAGUGGCUUACCAAGGCUUUGACGGGUAGCCGGCCUGAGAGGGUGACCGGCCACAUUGGGACUGAGAUACGGCCCAGACUCCUACGGGAGGCAGCAGUGGGGAAUAUUGCACAAUGGGCGGGAGCCUGAUGCAGCAACGCCGCGUGCGGGAUGACGGCCUUCGGGUUGUAAACCGCUUUCGCCUGUGACGAAGCGUGAGUGACGGUAAUGGGUAAAGAAGCACCAGCUAACUACGUG